AUGAUUAAAAGGCAAGUCUUCCGAAAGGUUGAUACGCAAAGCCGUGAAUCUAAAGUAGUAUGCUGCCAAGAUUGUCUGGUUACCAUG
This 87-nucleotide non-coding RNA is filed under the name Clostridium oryzae. RNAcentral describes it as "c-di-GMP sequence". It matches the Rfam family "c-di-GMP-I riboswitch aptamer". Rfam says of the family: GEMM was predicted in a large-scale screen for bacterial structured RNA regulatory elements. The record is from Rfam by way of RNAcentral. Lineage: Bacteria; Bacillati; Bacillota; Clostridia; Eubacteriales; Clostridiaceae.